This is a long non-coding RNA of Pseudophryne corroboree (corroboree frog), 774 nucleotides long. RefSeq lists it as uncharacterized. The record is from RefSeq and is a predicted model, not a curated record. The transcript is spliced from 4 exons. NCBI's taxonomy places the organism in Eukaryota, Metazoa, Chordata, Amphibia, Anura, Myobatrachidae.
GACGGGGCAGCUACAUGGGAAUCAAUUAGAGACAGCACCGAUUAAAGAUUCAGCGGUGCUGUGGUGCGGGAAAACUAUCCAUCACACCUGUAUGCAUUCCAGCAUACAGGUGGAACACAUAGGGAAACACUAUGAUAGUACAUCCUGAAGCAUUAUACAAUUUAGCAAUUCUGACACUUUAAAACUUGAGGUAGUGCAUUUUACAAAGUGGUAUUCAAAACUACUUAUAGGUUUACAUUAUCUAAGUGCCUUUGAGGUAUUUUCAUUGUCCCAUAUGGGACUUUUAUACACUUUUUUCAUAUGAGUGAUUCAGGAAGUGAUGUCAUACCCAGGAAUGUAUUUAAAUCUAGGAGGGUCUCUCAGUCAUUCUAUUCUGACUGGUGACCUAUGCACAUGCACAUAUUGGAGUCUGUGCAUUUUUUCCAUUUGGGAUUUUUGGUCACUAGUAAAUGGGAUUUCUCAUAUAUAUUUGAGCAUUUGUAGAUGCUGUAUAUUAUUCAUCUUUGGGACCUUUUUAUCCUAAUGGAUUUUUUAACAUGAAAAGAUAUACACCCCUGAUGAAGUCAUAGAGAUGAAACGUGUAGGGUUCACCAAUUUGUGUCCAUUGUGUCAUUGUAACAACUAUCUCCACCUAGAGCUCACACCUUUUGUUAAGGUGAGGGGAGAUUUGUGCCAUCUAUUGUAUUAUGACAUCUAUAUGGACGUGAUUGGAGUUGUAAUUUUGUAUGAUAUUUUAUAUUGCUGAUUGAAUAAAACAUCAUUGUUUGAUAUUAA